GUUUUACUCUGCAUUAGAGGAGCAAUUUGUUUAAUUUCUCUGGAGUUUAACCUUGCUGACUGUGAUGGAAAAGCACCUGCAAAUCUUGCAUUCAGUCAGAUCACUGGAAUACAGCGGUGGCCGCCCUGGUUUUUGCUGGGUUCAUCGCUCCUCUUCCUGAUAAUUCCCCAGUAUUAACUGGCUGGAGUUAUUACCCGUUAUAUGAGAUGUCUAUGUUGAGAGCGCUUUUAUGAGAUCCUGGUCCCCGUGGAUAAGAUGAUGGAGUUGGAAGCAAGAGAGAGUGCAAUGGAACCAGGAGGACGAGUUUAAAGACGUAUCAAGAAAACAGCUCUUAGGCUCUCACAGCAUGGACCCAGAACAACAUCACAGGAAGGACUUCCAUCUCCCAUCUGACACAAGUAUCCACUUCUCGACUGUCUCACUGAAGUUACAUUUGAAGUCUACAGUCUGGCAAUGUCACCCACUGGCCCACCAAGUCCAGGGCUGCACAGGUAUGCCAAGGUGCCCCCCCCCCACAUAUUCCUCUUAUCUACCGCCAACUCAGCUUGGAUGAAGUAAAACUGCUGUUAUUUCAAUAAAACAAGCCUGAAGG
Molecule: long non-coding RNA, 592 nt
Organism: Micropterus dolomieu (smallmouth bass)
Lineage: Eukaryota; Metazoa; Chordata; Actinopteri; Centrarchiformes; Centrarchidae
Exons: 5
Source: RefSeq, a predicted model, not a curated record